ACAUUUUUGUAAUGCUGUAGCUUUUGAUCACAGCAACUGAUAAAUCAAUUAUUGAGUGAAUAAAAAUUAUUUUAUAUUAUUUUUUGCAUUACAUUUCAAAUGAAAAAAAGAAUUGUUUAUAAUUUAACAUAUUUCAAAGAUAAGAAAAAAAAAUCAAAAUUAGAUAUUGAAUAUUAUCUACCCGCCGCAUCGCGCGGGUCACUGCACUAGUUAAGAUAUAUAAAAUUAUAGUUACUAUAUUUUUAAUUGUACACAUCUUUGAUUAU
RNAcentral lists this long non-coding RNA (266 nucleotides) under Ananas comosus (pineapple). Its description in RNAcentral is "long non-coding RNA (ACOM_LNC006956)". Lineage: Eukaryota; Viridiplantae; Streptophyta; Magnoliopsida; Poales; Bromeliaceae. The record is from RNAcentral.